RNAcentral lists this ribosomal RNA (465 nucleotides) under uncultured bacterium. Its description in RNAcentral is "partial 16S ribosomal RNA". It matches the Rfam family "Bacterial small subunit ribosomal RNA", at positions 28 to 507 of the family's 1533-position model. The record is from RNAcentral.
GACGAACGCUGGCGGCGUGCUUAACACAUGCAAGUCGUACGGUAAGGCCCUUUCGGGGGUACACGAGUGGCGAACGGGUGGGUAACACGUGAGUAACCUGCCCACAACUUUGGGAUAACGCUAGGAAACUGGUGCUAAUACUGGAUAUGUGCUCCUGCUGCAUGGUGGGGGUUGGAAAGCUCCGGCGGUUGUGGAUGGACUCGCGGCCUAUCAGCUUGUUGGUGGGGUAGUGGCCUACCAAGGCGGCGACGGGUAGCCGGCCUGAGAGGGUGACCGGCCACAUUGGGACUGAGAUACGGCCCAGACUCCUACGGGAGGCAGCAGUGGGGAAGAUUGCACAAUGGGCGCAAGCCUGAUGCAGCAACGCCGCGUGCGGGAUGACGGCCUUCGGGUUGUAAACCGCUUUCAGCAGGGACGAAGCUUUUUGUGACGGUACCUGCAGAAGAAGCACCGGCUAACUACGUG